This 253-nucleotide ribosomal RNA is filed under the name uncultured bacterium. Its description in RNAcentral is "partial 16S ribosomal RNA". It matches the Rfam family "Bacterial small subunit ribosomal RNA", at positions 524 to 776 of the family's 1533-position model. The record is from RNAcentral.
UACGAAGGGGGCUAGCGUUGCUCGGAAUCACUGGGCAUAAAGGGUGCGUAGGCGGGUCUUUAAGUCAGAGGGGAAAUCCUGGAGCUCAACUCCAGAACUGCCUUUGAUACUGAAGAUCUUGAGUUCGGGAGAGGUGAGUGGAACUGCGAGUGUAGAGGUGAAAUUCGUAGAUAUUCGCAAGAACACCAGUGGCGAAGGCGGCUCACUGGCCCGAUACUGACGCUGAGGCACGAAAGCGUGGGGAGCAAACAGG